GUUGGCGUGGGGCACGCUAGGUGUCCAGGUCGUUUACCGCCGGUCACGCCAGACUAGCCGCGCGGACUGUAAAUCUGCCGGCUUCGCCUUCCCAGGUUCGAAUCCUGGCGCCGCCA
This 116-nucleotide transfer RNA is filed under the name Streptomyces gibsoniae. RNAcentral describes it as "Streptomyces sp. DSM 41699 tRNA-OTHER". The record is from RNAcentral. Lineage: Bacteria; Bacillati; Actinomycetota; Actinomycetes; Kitasatosporales; Streptomycetaceae.